This 354-nucleotide ribosomal RNA is filed under the name uncultured Gammaproteobacteria bacterium. RNAcentral's name for it is "SSU rRNA". It matches the Rfam family "Bacterial small subunit ribosomal RNA", at positions 242 to 588 of the family's 1533-position model. The record is from RNAcentral. Lineage: Bacteria; Pseudomonadati; Pseudomonadota; Gammaproteobacteria.
CAGCUAGUUGGUAGGGUAACGGCCUACCAAGGCGACGAUCCGUAGCUGGUCUGAGAGGACGACCAGCCACACUGGGACUGAGACACGGCCCAGACUCCUACGGGAGGCAGCAGUGGGGAAUAUUGGACAAUGGGGGCAACCCUGAUCCAGCGACGCCGCGUGUGUGAAGAAGGCCUGCGGGUUGUAAAGCACUUUUAGUGGGGAUGAAAAGUACAUCGCUAAUACCGGUGUAUCUUGACCUAACCCAAAGAAAAAGCACCGGCUAACUCUGUGCCAGCAGCCGCGGUAAUACAGAGGGUGCGAGCGUUAAUCGGAAUUACUGGGCGUAAAGCGUGCGUAGACGGUUAUUUAAGU